Molecule: long non-coding RNA, 444 nt
Filed under: Oryzias javanicus (javanese ricefish)
Lineage: Eukaryota; Metazoa; Chordata; Actinopteri; Beloniformes; Adrianichthyidae
Description: lncRNA (ENSOJAG00000002466.1)
Source: RNAcentral
GGUUCUGGCUGCAGCACACAUCCCCCCCCUCCCCUCCCCUCCACCGUGCUGCAGGGAAUCCCAGCAUGCUCCGUCCACGGCCUGACUGGAAGGCUCCAUGGCAACCUCCGGGGUCAGGGGUUGCACAGAAAGGUUGCUUUUAUCUGCUAAUGAGAGAGUACAAACAGGAAACGGACGUCUUACCGGAGCGACCUGCACCACCUGCAGCUGGAUGUGCUGCGGCUGAGCCAGGCUGCCCCCCGGCUGAGACACCGGGAUGUACUGGAUCCUCUGGUAAUCCCCCUGCGCCGUUCGGUAGUCAGUGGUCAGGGUUUGAGACAGCUCGGUCAUGGCCUGAGUCAACAAAUCUGUGGUCUGCGAGGAGAGGAGGACAUCAAAGGAUCAUUUUCAUUUUUCCAAUUUAUCUGUUCAACAAAACUCAAGUGCGUCAUAUAUGCGUCAAUU